UUUUCCUCUUCCCCGUCACCCACGCCUCCACAUCCCUCCCACUCAUCCAUGUCGGCCUCGCCGCAGAAGAGGGCUAGCGGGCCGCGUCGCCGGUCAAAUUGCGUCUGGAGGCGAGGAGGGGGAGCAGCCACGCCCGGAGGAGGCCGUCCCCGGCGGCAAGGCCUAAUCCCUAGGGUGCCGCUUCGGGAUUGAUUCCCUUCGCUGUGAUGAACCCUUCUCGUCGGCCGCGCCCCAUGCUAGCAGGUGGGUGGAGCCUCGUUAUCAGGUGGGGAUGCUGGCGAACGCGUCGGACAUGAGCCGCUUCAGCGGGAAUCGAUGAUGGCGCAAGGUCCACCGCUUCUUCUGCUGCGGCGCUGCACAACGGGCCACACCAGGAGAUACCCAACGGGACACAGCCAAUAGAAGGUCGUCAGUCAGCAGCUGCUACUGCUCCCGGUAAAGGGUCAAAUCACAGAAAACAAAUCAGUUCCUAGAAUAUUUGAAAGCUGGAUAAGUCAUUUUGGAGGAUGGACAGCCAAGUUCAGUUUCGUUAAGGUCCUCACCUCUUAUACCAAGAGAUCCCAUCACAGUGAGUAUUGAAGAGAAACUUAAAUGUAAUAGUUAGAAGAGAUGAGGUGCUAAUAACUUUGAUGUGCAAGGAACCCUUGCUCCCCGGGUCCUUAAUGAUGCAGAUGGAUUUAAGAUCGAAAACAAAAAUGUAUCUGGACUCACCUUACAACACACCCCAAUAUCCACAACGACUUGUUAACAGCCAGCAAUUGUUGGAGCAAAAGAUCCAAACAGGCCUUCCCCAAGUGGUCAAAAUGAAACACCACUUGUGAAAUGGAGAGUUCAGGGGAUGAAUGAAUCGAAUAAUAUGCUGGAGCCAUUCCAGCUCUUCUAGAGCCACUCGCUGUAUGAGUUGGAGAAGAAGUUCUAUGAGGAACGCCGCCGCCCGGGCUUGGGCAUCCGCCGCGGUGUUGGGUGCCCCGGCAAGGUCUCUAGGGACUACGCAGCGGGCGUGAGCUCUCCCGGCUCCCCUCCCUCGCCGUCCCCUGUUUCUUCUUGCCUGUGCAUUUAUAUGUGACUUCCCUUGGUGGUGCUCAGUUGCCGUCCGGCCGGCCGAGCGUGAUGUGCUGACUCCGCUCCGAUGCGUGGGGACUGGACCAAUGGCGCUUGCUCAAAAACUGCGGUGGCAUCGAUCUAGAAGGACUAACGGCUCGGAGAAGACGGUGACGCUAUAUCUGAAAAUGAAUGUCAUCGCAAAAACUGGACGUGAGUAAUCAUCCCUCCCCUAAUUAAGAGUUAUGCCUUUUCUUUUGCGCUGACUACUAAAAGAACAGAUCUAUCUGUUUCUCCAUAUAUGUGAUGCUUUUAGCAGCAUGUAAGGUGUCCGAGGAAAUGAACACGAGAGAGUAGAAAUAUAGAAUGUGAGUAGCUUAAUUAUAUAUUAUUAUAUUAUGUAUCAGCUAUGUUCGCUCGGAUGAUCCAAGAAUUAUAUCAAGUAUGGUGAUAUAUUAGGAAACUGUGUGACUUGUUUGCUAGAUGACACAUUUUAAAGACUUAAUGUCAUGUGAGCAAGGGAAGCAUUUUGUGAGCAAGAACCCUGUCAGAGAUAGAUGAUUUGUAAUUAUGGCAGCUUUUGUCUUAGCCGUCGACCAUUUUACUUGUAGAGAUAUUUGCUUCUCUCCAUACUCUUUGCUUUCUACAACAUUUUGAUAAUUACACGACCUAACAGCACAUGCUCUUUCCUUUUCUGCCUUCAGCUUAUGCAUUUAGAUUUGUAGGUGGUCUGCUAAAGUAGCUAUCCACCAAUCUCACACAACACACAUAAGCGAUGCUAAGGAUCUGCCAACACUACUCGAGGCUCAUUACUAAACUGUUGGGCUGAUGUCUGAGUGUUUGAAAAAAUCUAUACAUACUACAUGUGUAAUGAAUUAAUCCAGUAAUGCCUUUAGCAACCAUACUUUUUUAUUACAUCUGUUCAUCUUUAAUUUAUCACGUGUUGUUUAUAACAUGACAAGUGCACCUUGAUCCUUACUGAAGAAUAUUUAGCAAAGGCUCUAGCUAUGAGUAACACGAACCGAUUAAAUGCCAUUGUAUGCAAUUUCACUGUCAUACUGAAGAGUUCAGCCUGUUUUCUUUGCAGAUGGCUGGCAUAGAUUUAGUAGGAAGGGAUCACUACUAUGGUGUGUUUCCUCUCAGGGGUAAAUUAUUAAAUGUGAGAGAAGCAAGACAUAAUCGCCUAUUUAUUUCCUCAUGUAUGCUUCUAGGUAGCAAUAAUAAUGAUGACGAUAACAGUGUUUCAGUUCAAGUGCAUUCUGCUUUUGAUUACGCUAUUUCUUACAACAUAUGCUGGUGUGAUAAUAUGCUUGUAUUUUACAAUGUUGCGAUUCGAUUUAAAGAGUUUAUCCUUCAUAAUAAUCUUGCAAGUUUUUAUUUGCCAAAUCAUUGGAAAUGGUAUUUGGUGUUGCAAUUCUGCUCCUAAAAUUAUUUUAGAUAUUUGUUUUUAGACAUGAUUAGCUCCUUACUUUCUUCGAAUGAUAUUGCCAAUUUGUUUAGAGGGAUAAAUUGGUGAGUUUAUAUUUUCUUUGUAGUUGAUUAGUUCUUUCUAUGUUCAUUUGCAUCAACUGAUAAGCCAAAGCUACCUGGUUAGGUACACAAACUUACAGGACAAGGUGUGCCGAGGUGAGCCGCCGCCAAUUCUACUGGCCGCUAGCCCCCACUCUUCUUCCAACCUUAUUGCUUUCUCAUUUUCUUCCUCUCUGAUCGCUCACCCAUUUUCCUCUGUGGUGCUCUCUUGGUUGCAGCAGAAACUUCUCAAUCUUACACGCAGUAUCUACAUGAUAGUUUAUGCAAAUGACACAUGAUUUUGGUAGAAUUAGUGCCAUUUGUUUCAUGCUCGUGCAUUACUAAACUAAGUUACAGUGAGAACCUGGAAGAGUGUAGUUUUCCUUCUGAGCAUUGCAUGCUUGAAGCUUUCCUUUCAUUGUCAAGAUAUGUCAUUGUAUAUUUUUCCUGAUUGUCGAAAAUGCUUUCAUGUGCAGGUUAGUGGUGCGUGGAUUAAGAUUUCAGCCAUGGGUGACUUUGCCUUCAUAGCUGGAUGCUUGUAAAAUUGGUCACAGGAAAGUGUGAUUGCUUGGACAUCAGAGGCAUUGUGACGCCGAGGAUCUUGUAGAGAAUUUAGGAAAGUGAAUUCCAACAUUAUCGAAGCAAAAUUGGUGAAGUUCGAUGAGGAUUGGAGAUGGCGUGCAACCUACUUACACAUAGAUGAUUUCAAGAGAUUGUUCCUUCAAAUGCUGGCAAAGAAGCGGGUAUCACUAUGAUCACCAGGCGAUGAAUAUAUUGGUGGGGAUACAAGUAAUGAACCAUAUUUUUCACCAUUCCCAUAUGGCUAUGGUACUUCAACACCUAUGGAAGAAGAUGAUGAGCAACCAAAUACUUCUAGGUAUUAUCUUUUGGCAUGUUCCAUGAAAAGUCAUCCGCAAAUAUUUGUGCUUUGCAGUCCUAGGCGCGUGCUUGAACUUUGGUGGUGUUCUGUGGAUUCAUGCAUUCAGGUCUUACCUACAGAGAUUUUGUUCUUGUGGUACAUUAAACAAAGAAGUUUUGUGGCAAAGAUGCAGACCGCAAGACCAAACUAAACCUGCCAUGAGUCUCUCAUUUUUUGAAGCUCUCACGGAGAAGUUCGGGCCUCCUUAGCAUGUCAGCUUUAUGUAGGAAAGCUGUAAUCAUUGUAUUAGAAAAGCCUCAAAUGCUCCUCUCACCCUGGUGAAAAAGUUGUGAAUGAUGUUCUAUAGAGAUUUUCAAUUGAAGUGCAUGGUUGUCAAUGAGCUUAAUCCUUUGUAAAUCCAACAAGAUCCUACCGAUGCAGUUC
Triticum aestivum (bread wheat) is the source of this 3853-nucleotide long non-coding RNA. RefSeq lists it as uncharacterized. The record is from RefSeq and is a predicted model, not a curated record. NCBI's taxonomy places the organism in Eukaryota, Viridiplantae, Streptophyta, Magnoliopsida, Poales, Poaceae. The transcript has 5 exons.